This 353-nucleotide unclassified non-coding RNA is filed under the name soil metagenome. Its description in RNAcentral is "partial contains 5.8S ribosomal RNA, internal transcribed spacer 2, and large subunit ribosomal RNA". The stretch from base 1 to 121 matches the Rfam family "5.8S ribosomal RNA", at positions 35 to 154 of the family's 154-position model. The record is from RNAcentral.
GAUGAAGAACGUAGCGAAAUGCGAUAAGUAAUGCGAAUUGCAGAAUUUCCGUGAGUCAUCGAAUCUUUGAACGCACAUUGCGCCCACUGGUAUUCUGGCGGGCAUGCCUGUUCGAGCGUCAUUUCAACCCUCAGGCCCCCAGUGCCUGGUGUUGGGGAUCGGCCCAGCCUUCCUGUAAGGCCGCCGGCCCCGAAAUCUAGUGGCGGUCUCGCUGUAGUCCUCCUCUGCGUAGUAGCACAACCUCGCAGUUGGAACGCGGCGGUGGCCAUGCCGUUAAACACCCCACUUCUGAAAGUUGACCUCGGAUCAGGUAGGAAUACCCGCUGAACUUAAGCAUAUCAAUAAGCGGAGGA